RNAcentral lists this non-coding RNA (27 nucleotides) under Rattus norvegicus (Norway rat). Lineage: Eukaryota; Metazoa; Chordata; Mammalia; Rodentia; Muridae. The record is from RNAcentral.
UGCAAUUAUUGGAGUCUGGAAUACAAU